UACGGGGGGUGCGAGCGUUGUCCGGAAUCACUGGGCGUAAAGGGCGCGUAGGUGGUUUGAUAAGGGUGUGGUGAAAGCCCGGGGCUCAACCCCGGGUCUGCCGUGCCGACUGUUAAACUCGAGGGCUGUAGAGGCAGACGGAAUUCCGGGUGUGGCGGUGGAAUGCGUAGAGAUCCGGAGGAAGACCGGUGGCGAAGGCGGUCUGCUGGGCAGUUCUGACACUGAUGCGCGACAGCGUGGGGAGCAAACAGG
This 252-nucleotide ribosomal RNA is filed under the name uncultured bacterium. Its description in RNAcentral is "partial 16S ribosomal RNA". It matches the Rfam family "Bacterial small subunit ribosomal RNA", at positions 524 to 776 of the family's 1533-position model. The record is from RNAcentral.